This 871-nucleotide ribosomal RNA is filed under the name uncultured bacterium. Its description in RNAcentral is "bacterial SSU rRNA". It matches the Rfam family "Bacterial small subunit ribosomal RNA", at positions 505 to 1388 of the family's 1533-position model. The record is from RNAcentral.
GUGCCAGCCGCCGCGGUAAUACGGAGGAUCCAAGCGUUAUCCGGAAUCAUUGGGUUUAAAGGGUCCGUAGGCGGGACAAUAAGUCAGCGGUGAAAGUCUGUGGCUCAACCAUAGAAUUGCCAUUGAUACUGUUGUUCUUGAGUGUUUAUGAAGUGGUUAGAAUAUGUAGUGUAGCGGUGAAAUGCUUAGAUAUUACAUGGAAUACCGAUUGCGAAGGCAGAUCACUAAUAAAAUACUGACGCUGAUGGACGAAAGCGUAGGUAGCGAACAGGAUUAGAUACCCUGGUAGUCUACGCCGUAAACGAUGGUUACUAGCUGUUCGGAAGUAAUUCUGAGUGGCUAAGCGAAAGUGAUAAGUAACCCACCUGGGGAGUACGUUCGCAAGAAUGAAACUCAAAGGAAUUGACGGGGGCCCGCACAAGCGGUGGAGCAUGUGGUUUAAUUCGAUGAUACGCGAGGAACCUUACCAGGGCUUAAAUGUAGCUUGACCGAUUUGGAAACAGAUCUUUCGCAAGACAAGUUACAAGGUGCUGCAUGGUUGUCGUCAGCUCGUGCCGUGAGGUGUCAGGUUAAGUCCUAUAACGAGCGCAACCCCUGUUGUUAGUUGCCAGCGAGUAAUGUCGGGAACUCUAACAAGACUGCCGGUGCAAACCGUGAAGGAGGUGGGGAUGACGUCAAAUCAUCACGGCCCUUACGUCCUGGGCCACACACGUGCUACAAUGUAGGACAGAUAGCAGCCACUGGGUGACAGGAGCGAUCUACAACCCUAUCUCAGUUCGAUCGGAGUUCUGCACUCGACUCGUGAAGCUGGAAUCGCUAGUAAUCGCAUAUCAGCAUGAAUGCGGGGAAUACCUUCCGAGGCCCUGUGCAC